RNAcentral lists this small nuclear RNA (114 nucleotides) under Salmo trutta (river trout). RNAcentral's name for it is "U5 spliceosomal RNA (ENSSTUG00000041528.1)". It matches the Rfam family "U5 spliceosomal RNA". From Rfam's summary of the family: U5 RNA is a component of both types of known spliceosome. The precise function of this molecule is unknown, though it is known that the 5' loop is required for splice site selection and p220 binding, and that both the 3' stem-loop and the Sm site are important for Sm protein binding and cap methylation. The record is from Rfam by way of RNAcentral. Lineage: Eukaryota; Metazoa; Chordata; Actinopteri; Salmoniformes; Salmonidae.
CGACUCUGGUUUCUCUUCAUUACGCACAAGCCUUUCGCCUUUUACUAAAGACUUCAGUGGAGAGGAAACACUUACGAGUUCAACCAUAUUUUUGGAAGGGUGGCUUCUGGCCCC